GAAAGCCAGAUGGAGAUGGUUACCAUGGAGACUCCUGCCCAAGCGCCCAACACCUGUGAUCAUCACCUGCCUCUAAUUCGGCUUAAUCCAGAUCUCCCCAGAGACUUGGGGGGAGACAAAGAGGAGGCAGACAUCUUCCGGAAUCAGAUCGGCUCUCCGUGACAAGGCCAGUGAGCUGGCUCAGGGACUUGUGCCCAGAGACUCAGAGAGGGUCCCAGCACCUCCCAUGGAAGAGCCAUCAUCCUCGGCUUCUGUCCAAGGCCCGACGCUCCUGCUCAGAGGGAAGAGACUAGCAUUUGUUGUCAGCUACCAAGCCGGGUGUUCCCCACAUGCGGUGCCCCCUCCAGCCCUAAGUCAUGAACAGUUACCACUGUUGUGCCAUGUUACAGGCUGGGGAGUCAAGUCUCAGUGCCGGGAUGGCCUUUUGCCCUAGGGCAAGAAUAGGAGAGCCUUGACACACCAAUACACCACCGAGGGCUCGUAUGGCCAGGACCUCAGGCACCCCAGUGCUGGAUUCCAAGCACAGUGGGACCCAGCCACAUUCCCUGGGCCCAAGCGACACCAACCUCAUCCCCACCCUGGGCCAUUAAAGCUUGCUUUUCUUGUUUUA
Canis lupus familiaris (dog) is the source of this 610-nucleotide long non-coding RNA. RefSeq lists it as uncharacterized. The transcript is spliced from 2 exons. The record is from RefSeq and is a predicted model, not a curated record. NCBI's taxonomy places the organism in Eukaryota, Metazoa, Chordata, Mammalia, Carnivora, Canidae.